UCUGAUCUCAUUGGUCUGGGGAGCAACCUGGGCAUCAGGAUUUUUAAACGAGUAGCAGAGUCUGUGGCCGGGACAGGGUGUGGGGAGGAGGGGCAGGCAGCUCUGGAGGUCUGACAGGAGGAAGUGGCAAUGACAUAGCCUCAGGCAGCCUGAGCUUCCAGGGCAGGAAGCCCAGGGCCCAGGGCACCAGGCUGGCCCAAAGUGGCACUUGGGAAAGAUUGGCUGCAGGCCUGUGGGAGGAAAGGGUGGGCGGGACAGAAGGACGGGACGAGAAGAGAGGCAAAAGCCCAGACGGUGCCGUGGGUUUGAGUCCAUUGUCUGUCGCUAGCUUUCUCUGUGACCUGGGACACAUCGCUUCCCCUCUCUGGGCCUCAGUUUCUCCAUCUGGAAAAGGAGAGGAUUGAAUUUGAUGAUGGCUAAAGAUCCUUCCGGCUCCAGGGUUGGAGGACACCCCAGGCUGGACCUCCUAGUGUGAGAUAAGCCCGCAUGGAGUUUCCGAUCUGCAGAUCUGCAAACAGACCCUGCACUCCAGUCUGGGCAGGGGGCAGGCACAGAGGUUCACGAGCACCCCUCGCCCCUCCCUGGCUCCCCGGCCACUCCAUCAUGCUGCCAGACACGGGUCAUGGAAAUUUCCUCUUAGGCCCUCUAGUCCAGCCCAGGGAAUGUGGUUAUCCUUCCAACUUCAAGUGGAAAUUUCCGCUCUCCCCCUGACAACUAGUGGGAGACACAGUGGAGCUGCAGACAGAGAUCGUGGCAUUGGGGUGGAGGGUGACUCCUGGUUACAGGCCACACAGGGUUCAUCAGGGGGCCAGGCGUCCUCCUUCAAGAAGUAUUUAUGGGGCACCUCACCUACUGUGUGCUGGGCCCUAUUCCAGGUGCCAGGGACACAGGACAGAACAGGACAGGCUCAGUCUCCGGCCUCCGGAAGCAUCUCUCCUAAAGGGGGGAAGAGAACACACAUGAGUACUGCAGAUAAACUGAGGCGUCAUAAGGAAAAGGGCAUGAUGCUGGGGCAGGCAGGUGGGUUUUAGAGAGGGUGAUCAGGGAAGGCCUUGCUGCGGGCGAGGUGACGUUUGUGUGCUUGUCAGGGGGAACAGCAAGUACAAAAGUCCUGAAGCAGGGCCAUGGCUGUCAUGUUGAGGACGCAGUGGGCAGAGGAGAAGGUGAUGAGAUCAGAGAGUUUCCUGCAGCGCCUUCCCAGGGUAAGGACUUUGGAUUUUAGGCUUAGUGCCGUGGGGAGUCCACAGGACAUUUCUGAGCAGAGAGGGGAGAGGAUCUAACUACAUUUUAUUUAUUUAUUUACUUACUUAUUUUACAACCCGAGGAUGGUGUUCAUUUCAGUAUUGGGCAGAUUUCUUCUCAAAAGCUGCUCCAGUUUCAGGAGGCCAGCGUAAGCGUAUAUAUUUUGCCAGGGUAAAGUUAUACUUGUGAAUGAACUCAUGCAACAGACAUUCUGCAGUUGCAUCAUUGGAGGCAUUUGUAGCGGACAGUCAGAGGGCCUGACCCGUCCCCCUGCUGCUUGCUGAUCCACAUCUGCUGGAAGGCGGAGAGAGCAGCCUGCAAGGAAGCCACCGCUCCGGAUUUUUAGUGCCUAAGGAGAAACUGUCUUCAUUGGCCGUGAUUUCUCCCUGCGUUCUGUUGGCCCCCCUGCAAUGCUGUGUGGGCACACAGAUCCUUUCAGAGGUCAAUCGCACACUUCAGAACCGAGUUAAAAGUGGUUUCAUGAAUGUCACAGGACGCCAAGCCCAGGAACGAGGGCUGGAGGAGACGCUCUGGACAUCUGGACCUCUCAUGGCCAAGGACAACCUCCUGACCAUCAGAAGCUCACAGCCCUUCUCCGGGGAGGAAGCGGAGGACACAGCGGGGGCCAUCUCCUGCUCCAGGUCCAGGGUGAUGCAGCAGAGCUUUCCCUCCGCGUCACACACCAGUCCCUCUCAGCUGUGGUAGCGAGGCUGUAACCUCUUUCCGUCAGGCUCUCCUCCAGGAGGUCAUCUCCCAAGUCACGCUCAUUGCAGAUGGGUAACAGUCUGUGGAUUGGCCGUGGUCUGAGGACACCUCUUUGAUAGCAUCGAUUCAGGCUGUUGAGAGGUGGAUGCUGGCGUUGCAGAACCUCUCAGAUUGCCAGAAGGAACAAGGCUCCUGCAUCCCUGUUCCCCUAAGCAGAUGAUUAGCCCUGAGCUAACUGCUGCCAAUCCUCCUAUUUUUUGCUGAAGAAGACUGACCCUGCCUGAGCUAACAUCUGUGCCCAUCUUCCUCUACUUUCUAUGUGGGACGCCUGCCCAGCAUGGCUUGCCAAGCGGUGCCAUGUCCACAUCCGGGAUCUGGGCUGGCGAACCCCGGGCCGCCAGGAAGUAGAAUGUGCGCACUUAACCGCUGCACCACCGGGCUGGCCCCUUGACAUUUUGAAAAAGUGCCAUGUGACUCUGAUGCCCAGCUGCUGUCUGACCCAUAAGAGGUGUCUGGUGACUGUGCUCAUAGAAGUGCAGCACAUCUGUGGAGGGACACACAGGGAUCUGUGGCCUGCGGGGAGGGGAGCUGGGGGACACCAGAGGAAGAUGAGUCACUUUUUGUUAUACAUCUUUUUGUACUGAUUGGACUUUUAACCUAAAAAAAAUGUUUGACCAACUGAUGUUGUUGCUGUCAUCUAUGUGAGGGACCGCCAACUCUAGGCCUGCGGCUGGGGCCUGCAGUCCGGUGAAGGACAGGAGCAGGCCAGAGGAACGGAGAGCUGCAGAGCGCGUGUCCCACCUCAAGGGGGCAGCAGCCGCCCAGAGCCUGCUGACUGUGUCUGGGUGGGACUGAGCGCAGCGCUGCCAGAUCUUCCUACUUUUUCCAGAUAAGCCUGAAACCACAUUUUCAAGUAGAAUUAAUUGUCAACUAAUUCGAAAAUGUAGAACACAGCAUGGGCCGAACACAACACGUCUGCGAACCAAUUCUGGCUGCGGGCCACCAGUCCGUGCUGGCGGGUCUAGCAGGACGCUGUCAAGGACUGGGCACCUUGGAGGCCAAUCUGCAAAGCCAGGGCAGACCCAUCCUUCGCUUCUAGGAAAUCGAGUUCACUUCCCAUGGGGGUCCACACAGGACGAGGACAAAGCAGGUGCCCCAAGGCCCACAGGGGUCACCCGCCCACUCAAAAUGAUCUAAUUCCACACAUAUUUAUUAACCUCCCCUCGUGUGCCAGGCUGAGUGCUGGAGGUGGUGAAUGUGGUGAAUGUGACAGUCACAGUCCCUGGUCUCUAGGUGGGGAGACACACUUGAAAGAUAGUUGCAUAAUAAUUACAUUUGCGACAUGAGGAGCUGCAGUAUAGCAUGGGGAUCCUAAGUUUGAGUUUGAUUCCUGAUUUCACCACUUGCUAAUUAUGUCACUUUGGG
Long non-coding RNA from Equus asinus (donkey), 3372 nucleotides. The record is from Ensembl. NCBI's taxonomy places the organism in Eukaryota, Metazoa, Chordata, Mammalia, Perissodactyla, Equidae.